GUCUUUAUGAGUGGGAUAUAAAGUCUGGCCUGCCCACUGAUCAUUUAAAGGGCCGCGGUAUACUGACCGUGCGAAGGUAGCAUAAUCAUUAGUCUCUUAAUUGGAGGCUGGUAUGAAUGGUUGAACAAGAGCUAAACUAUCUAUGCUUCAAGCAUUGAACUUAACUUUUGAGUUAAAAGGCUCAAAUAAUCCAGGGGGACGAUAAGACCCUAUAAAGCUUUAUGCAAGUGGCACUGUCAGGAGAGAUAAAAGAUAAGUUCUGGCAUUGCUUGGGCAUUUCGCUGGGGCGGCGAAGAUACGUUUGCGAGCUGUCUUUAUGAUUAACACAGAUUAGUGAAUAUUAAUUGAGCCUUUAUUAUGGAGUAUAAGUUUAAGUUACUUUAGGGAUAACAGCGUAAUCUUUUUUGAGAGUCCAAAUCGAGAAAGAGGUUUGCGACCUCGAUGUUGAAUUAAAAUUACUUUCCGGUGUAGAAGUUGGGAGAGUAGGUCUGUUCGACCUUUAAAUUUUUACAUGAUUUGAGUUCAGACCGGCGUAAG
This 537-nucleotide ribosomal RNA is filed under the name Naushonia sp. RR-2008. RNAcentral describes it as "partial 16S ribosomal RNA". It matches the Rfam family "Bacterial large subunit ribosomal RNA", at positions 1819 to 2625 of the family's 2925-position model. Lineage: Eukaryota; Metazoa; Arthropoda; Malacostraca; Decapoda; Laomediidae. The record is from RNAcentral.